UACGUAGGGGGCAAGCGUUAUCCGGAUUUACUGGGUGUAAAGGGAGCGUAGACGGCGAUGCAAGCCAGAUGUGAAAGCCCGGGGCUCAACCCCGGGACUGCAUUUGGAACUGUAUAGCUAGAGUGUCGGAGAGGCAGGCGGAAUUCCUAGUGUAGCGGUGAAAUGCAUAGAUAUCACGCAGAACUCCGAUUGCGAAGGCAGCAUACCGGCGCCCUACUGACGCUGAGGCACGAAAGCGUGGGUAUCGAACAGG
This 253-nucleotide ribosomal RNA is filed under the name uncultured bacterium. Its description in RNAcentral is "partial 16S ribosomal RNA". It matches the Rfam family "Bacterial small subunit ribosomal RNA", at positions 524 to 776 of the family's 1533-position model. The record is from RNAcentral.